UACGGAGGGUGCGAGCGUUGUCCGGAAUCAUUGGGCGUAAAGGGCGCGUAGGUGGCCCCUCAAGCGUGCGGUGAAAGUCAGGGGCUCAACCCCUGAUCGGCCGUGCGAACUGGGGAGCUUGAGCACUGUAGAGGCAGGCGGAAUUUCGGGUGUAGCGGUGGAAUGCGUAGAGAUCCGGAGGAACACCGGUGGCGAAGGCGGGUCUCUGGGCCGUUACUGACGCUGAGGAGCGAAAGCGUGGGGAGCGAACAGG
Molecule: ribosomal RNA, 253 nt
Filed under: uncultured bacterium
Lineage: Bacteria
Description: partial 16S ribosomal RNA
Rfam family: Bacterial small subunit ribosomal RNA
Source: RNAcentral